Molecule: ribosomal RNA, 799 nt
Filed under: uncultured bacterium
Lineage: Bacteria
Description: bacterial SSU rRNA
Rfam family: Bacterial small subunit ribosomal RNA
Source: RNAcentral
UCGCACGAGAAAGUGGAGCAUCCAUGAGUACAGUGGCGUACGGGUGAGUAACACGUGGAUUAUCUACCUUCUAGUGGGGAAUACCUCCGGGAAACUGGAGACAAUACCGCAUAAGCUCGUAAGAGGAAAGCAGCAAUGCGCUGGAAGAGGAGUCCGCGGCUGAUUAGCUAGUUGGCGGGGUAACGGCCCACCAAGGCGAAGAUCGGUAGCCGGCCUGAGAGGGCACACGGCCACACUGGCACUGAAACACGGGCCAGACUCCUACGGGAGGCAGCAGUGGGGAAUCUUGCACAAUGGAGGAAACUCUGAUGCAGCGACGCCGCGUGAGCGAUGAAGCCCUUCGGGGUGUAAAGCUCUUUCGACGGGAACGAUAAUGACGGUACCCGAAGAAGAAGCUGCGGCUAACUACGUGCCAGCAGCCGCGGUAAUACGUAGGCAGCAAGCGUUGUUCGGAAUUACUGGGCGUAAAGAGUGUGUAGGCGGUGCUCCAAGUCUGGUGUGAAAUCUCCCGGCUUAACUGGGAGGGUGCAUUAGAAACUGGAAUGCUAGAGGAUGGGAGAGGUAAGCGGAAUUCCUGGUGUAGCGGUGAGAUGCGUAGAUAUCAGGAGGAACACCUGUGGUGUAGACAGCUUACUGGACCAUUUCUGACGCUGAGACACGAAAGCGUGGGUAGCAAACAGGAUUAGAUACCCUGGUAGUCCACGCCCUAAACGAUGCAUACUUGGUGUGAGCGAUUCAUUUCGUUCGUGCCGGAGCUAACGCGUUAAGUAUGCGGCCUGGGGAGUACGGUCGCAAGGCU